GACGAACGCUGGCGGCGUGCUUAACACAUGCAAGUCGAACGGACAGACGCUGCUUUUGUUGCUUUGUCGAUUGGCGCAGGGGUGAGUGUAACAUGAGUAACCUGCCCUUAUCUGUCGGAUAACUUCUCGAGACUCGGGCUCAUACCGCGUAGAAGCUCCUGCUGCAUGGUGGUGGAUGGAAAGAUUCGGCCGUUGUGGAUGUACUGGCGGCUUAUCAGCUUCUUUGUGGGGUAGUGGCUUACCAAGGCUUUGACGGGUAGCCGGCCUGAGAGGUUGACCGGGCACAAGGGGCCUGAGGUAGGGCCCAGACGGCUACGGGCGGCAGUAGUGGGGAACCUUGCAGAAUGGGGGGAAGCCUGAUGAAGAAGCGCUGGGUGCGGGAUGAUGGCUUUCGGGGGGAAAACCGCUUUCGCCUGUGAUGAAGCGUGAGUGACGGUACCGGGUAAAGAAGCACCGGCUAACUACGUG
RNAcentral lists this ribosomal RNA (468 nucleotides) under uncultured bacterium. Its description in RNAcentral is "partial 16S ribosomal RNA". It matches the Rfam family "Bacterial small subunit ribosomal RNA", at positions 28 to 507 of the family's 1533-position model. The record is from RNAcentral.